AAAUCAUCAUGCCCCUUAUGUUCUGGGCUACACACGUGCUACAAUGGCCGGUACAGACGGAGGCGAAGCCGCGAGGCGGAGCAAAUCCGAAAAAGCCGGUCUCAGUUCGGAUUGCAGGCUGCAAUUCGCCUGCAUGAAGUCGGAAUCGCUAGUAAUCGCAGGUCAGCAUACUGCGGUGAAUACGUUCCCGGGCCUU
This 196-nucleotide ribosomal RNA is filed under the name uncultured Pelotomaculum sp. RNAcentral's name for it is "partial 16S ribosomal RNA". It matches the Rfam family "Bacterial small subunit ribosomal RNA", at positions 1187 to 1382 of the family's 1533-position model. Lineage: Bacteria; Bacillati; Bacillota; Clostridia; Eubacteriales; Desulfotomaculaceae. The record is from RNAcentral.